UACGAGGGGUGCAAGCGUUGCUCGGAAUUAUUGGGCGUAAAGGGUAGGUAGGUGGUCUCGUUUGUCUGGGGUGAAAGCCUUGAGCUUAACUGGGGAACUGCGUGUGAUACUGGAUGGCUUGGAUUUGGGAGAGGGAUGCGGAAUUCCAGGUGUAGCGGUGAAAUGCGUAGAUAUCUGGAGGAACACCGGUGGCGAAGGCGGCAUCCUGGACCAAUAUUGACGCUGAGGAGCGAAAGCCAGGGGAGCAAACGGG
This 253-nucleotide ribosomal RNA is filed under the name uncultured bacterium. RNAcentral describes it as "partial 16S ribosomal RNA". It matches the Rfam family "Bacterial small subunit ribosomal RNA", at positions 524 to 776 of the family's 1533-position model. The record is from RNAcentral.